Long non-coding RNA from Chloebia gouldiae (Gouldian finch), 1786 nucleotides. The record is from Ensembl. Lineage: Eukaryota; Metazoa; Chordata; Aves; Passeriformes; Passeridae.
CUUUUCCUCACACCCUGCCCAGAAAGGUCUGUCAGCCUAAAAAACAUUGCAGGGAGCCAAAAAAUUUAGGGCCCAUGAUGACAUAGGACAGGACAAGUGGGUGGCACCUGUGGAAACUUGCUCGCACUCAGCUGAGCAAGGAGAAGCUUUGCUGGGUGGUUUCAGAAGAGCCAGUCCUGCUGCUGCUGGGACUCAGCAGGGAUGGAAAGCUGAGGAAACCUCAGCAAGGAGAUGGUGCUUUUCACUGCUUUUGGAAAAGGCAGUGUGCAUUUUCUGAGCUGCCAACCCUGCUCACACCUCUUGGAGAUGUGGGCUGGAUUACUCAGCCAUAGAACUACUGGCAAGUGCAGCAAAAAAAUCGAAGCCCAGCACCAGGAUGGAGCAAGGGAUCUCAGUGCCUUUGGGAUGCAGCUGAAACACUUUUGCAAAAGCCCAUGGAAAAAGCAACAAAGCCUAAAUAUCUGGGAUAGGAAAGCAGGUGCUGGAUGUGCUCCUCACACCCAGCAUGAAGUGCUGGGAAAAAGCAUUGGAGGGGGACUGGAGAGAACUCAUCCUCGUGAGCUGGCCACAUUGUGCUUGAGGCAUAAAGGGCUGCAGGAGAAAACUCCCAGAGAGCUAGUACAUCUUUUUCAUUUGGAUCCUGCUGACACAAAUAACCCCAAGUUUUGGGCUGAAACAUCAGCAGUCACCUCUUUCCAUUGCCGGCCGGCAUGGCAAGCUAAUUUUAACCUCCCAAGCUCCCUCCCAUCUCCUGGAGGUUGUCCUGUUGCAGCCAGGGAGUGCUAAAAAAUAGUGCAUCGCCCACUCAUCCAGCCUCCUUCAAGGGAAAUAUUUACAUGAUGCCAAAGAGAGGGUUUCCAUGGCAGUGAUGACUCUAGCACCGUCGCCUUGGAAACCACUUGAGGCCAUCUUGAAGGGUUUGAAAAUCCCCUUCAGAGACAAAUAAGGAGAGGGAGAGGAAAGGCCACUGGGAUCGGAGUGGCUUUCCAGUCUCCCCUGACUUUCCUGUCAGCUCCUUGCCUGCGUCCCUGCCCAUGCCACUGGGAUGAUUUGUAGUCCAGGUGUUGCUUCAGGGAUAGACCCAGGACAAAGGAACUAAGUGCUUUGCAAAGAGAAAUGGUUCGGCUGGUGCUUCCCCCUGCUUCCCAAACCAUCCGGCAGUGACUCUGGUGUCAGGGCACUGCUCAGCCCCAGAGGAGGCUUCAGGGAGACUCCCCCGCGCCAGCAAACACCAGGGUGAUCACUAGUGCCUGCCCAGCUUCGAGCACCAGCUGCUUUUGGAGCAGCAAAUGCACAAGUCCCAUGUCUUUGACAGCCCAAGUGCCCAUCACACGUGAAGAGCCCCGUGUUUCUUCUGAGGAGCUGCCAAAAUGUGAACCGCAGGCAGGAGACGGCUGCUGGCACGGCUGCUGGCACCAGAGCGCUCGCCUGUGGCGGAGGAAGGAACGCACCUUCCUCUGUGUCACGCACUUCCCAGGCUCAGCCCCCGCAUCCCGUGUUCAGCUCCCACAUCCCGUGGUUCAGCCGACCGAGCGCCUUUGGCCACUUAUGCUCCCAGCCUGCAGGAGCUCUGUCACCGGCAGCCAGUCCAUCUGGCUCUCAAGGACACCAAGAACACGGCAGGGAGAGCAAAGCUUUCUGAGCAGAUGGAUGGCGAGCUCCACGAUGCAGCUGGCAGCGGCAGGGGUGGCCAGUGUCGCUGUUUGUUCAAGUUACGGGAUUGCUUUCUUUGGGGUUUUGCUGAAAAAAACAUUAGUUGUUUACCUCAUUUUGUUUAGGGCAAUCU